AAAAUCCGCCAACUUUAGAAAUCCGGAGGGUUCAAGUCCCUCUAUCCCCA
This 50-nucleotide transfer RNA is filed under the name Maesa japonica. RNAcentral's name for it is "partial tRNA-Leu". Lineage: Eukaryota; Viridiplantae; Streptophyta; Magnoliopsida; Ericales; Primulaceae. The record is from RNAcentral.